CACGUAGGGCGCAAGCGUUGUCCGGAAUUAUUGGGCGUAAAGAGCUCGUAGGCGGUCUGUUGCGUCCGCUGUGAAAACCCGGGGCUUAACCCUGGGCUGGCAGUGGAUACGGACAGACUAGAGGUAGGUAGGGGAGAAUGGAAUUCCCGGUGUAGCGGUGAAAUGCGCAGAUAUCGGGAGGAACAUCAGUGGCGAAAGCGACUUCCUGGACCAAUACUGACGCUCAUGUGCGAAAGCGUGGGGAGCAAACAGG
Molecule: ribosomal RNA, 253 nt
Filed under: uncultured bacterium
Lineage: Bacteria
Description: partial 16S ribosomal RNA
Rfam family: Bacterial small subunit ribosomal RNA
Source: RNAcentral